CCCCGGCCCCUCCUCCGCCAGCCGCGUUCUCCCGGGCUUGGUGAGGAACUGUUCCUGGAGGAGCCGCGGGACGGCAAAACCAUCCAAUGGGAAGAGGCGAUUCGCGGAGAUUGGCACUGAAGAUGGGAAGCGAUGAUAAGGAAACUAAACUGGAUUAAGUGCUAUCAUCUUGAAGGUGCAAAGGCAAACAAGGAGAAAGAAGUGAUUGAAGAGCACUUCAGAAAGCCUGGUACAUUCAAAUCAGCAGGGCUUGAUUACUCGCAUCCCAGGACACUUAAGGAAUUGGCAAAUAUAAUUGCAAGACCACCAGCCUUUAUUUUAGAAAAUGAAGGUUGGACAGAAGAAGGUCCUGACAAGUAGAAUCAGCAGAUGGAGUACCUGUUUUUUAAAACAGGGAAAAGGACAGCUGUAGUAAUUAUAGACUAUUCAGCUUAUCUUGGAUACCUGGGAAGAUACAAGAGCAAAUCAUCAAACAAUCAAUUUGCAACCACCUAGAAGAGCACAAGGUACUGGGUCGUAAUCAACAUGAUUUUGUGAAGUGCAAAUUAUGCCACACCAAUUUAAUUUUAUCUAUGGUAGAGUGAUGAGCCUGGCAGAAGAGGGCAAAGAAAUAUCUACAACCGGACUUCAAUAAGGUUUUCUGUUUUUAUUUAAAAUAUUCCAUUUCCUGGCAUUUUCAGCAUCAACCUUCUGAGAGGAUGCUAUCUGAACAGCAGUUGGGAAUAUUGAUCUCAGCGUUACUUUGACCAUUAAUGAAUUAUGAUGGCAAUAAGCAAAGAUGCGCGCCUCUAGCCUCCAGGGAGCUUAAUCUUCUGCUACAACGUUUGCAUUUGCAGUGUUUAAGAAGGAUCCAGAAAUACUUCAAGCGAUGCCAGUGGUAGUGUUGCCUCCUCAGAAGACUGCUUUCAGGGGAACAGUAUACCUCUGCCCUGUAAAUUCUGGAUGGUAUGAAAACUGAGGUGCAGAAAGAAAUUACUAUUGAAAGUCACAAACUGUUGCAGCAGCCUAGGAGGAAGGCAGCAGAGAAGGAUGAGCCUGUGACCCGACUGAGCUGCAGGCAGAAGAAUCUUCUUUGUACUGCUCGAGGUCAAGAAUGUGUUUACACCCUGGCCUAAUGGUCUGAACUUUUGCAUCUGAGUGCAGGACUUCAGGACCACUGAAGGCCACCACGCGGUGGAAUGAAGCUCCCUAGCAGAAGCACCUGGAUUAAACGUGCAACCAGACCAGUCCACACCAGCCCCCCAAGUCACUGAACUCAAUGACAUCAUGCCCAGGCAGGGAAAGUCAACAGGCCUCUGGCCCGGGUCCCCUCCACUCCUCUCAUUUCUUCUGCCUCUCGCUGUUCUUAACCCAGGGACAAUAUUUAGAAAGCAGAGCGGGUUCAGGCAGCCCUCUCAAUUACUUUGGCUGGAACCUUCCUGAGUACAUUUUGCUAUCUCUUUGUGAUGUAAACAGGGGCAUUCACAGUUGGCAGGGGAUGCUCUUUCUGUUUUAAUUACACACGGCAUAAUUAUAGUCCCAGGGUCUGGAAACAGCACAAAGUUCUUUGGAGAACUUCAUAGGGAUUUUUCUGUUAUGACAUAGUUUAUCAGGAGAAAAAAAAGUAAGGCAAAAGACAUUUCCAAAGAGGAACUAAUAACACUAUUUAUGCUAGCGUUCCAUUCCAUAAUAAGUAGAUCACAAAAUCGGAGUAGACAUUUUUUUCUGGAGGCGGGGGUGGAGUUUCAAAAUUUUGGACUCACGGACAGUGGUGGCAAAAUCUAGAUAAAUACUAAUGCAUGGAUGUGGGUGGAGAAGGAUAUACAUGUAAAUUUUUUUUACUUAGGAAAGCAAUAAGAAGGCAUCCAGCUGUAUCUGAGGGAAUUUGCACGUACCCGGGACCCUGAGGAUAUGGAAAAAGAUCCUACCAUAGUCAUAGUCAUCUGGCCUAAACCUGAGUCAUAAAAUUCUCUCUGCCCCCAGAUGUGCAGUAUGAGGGCACUUUGUUACUCUGCUGAUGUAGUGAGAAAUCGCAGAACUGCCACGGUAAUGGAGAGUACAGUGACAGAGAUGGGGAGACAGGGCUGUUUCUCUGUUAUGAAACAUGCUUUUAUAGGUAAUUCUGAUGUACAGUAGGUAUUAAAUAGAGCAACGAAAAGAUUUUUUAUUUUAGAUUAGUGCUAGAGUGAUAUUUCCCCCAUGGCACUAAUAAUCCAGCUGCUUUCUAAAGCCUAUUUGCUCUCCCAGUUUCUCAUAGACUCCCAGCACUGUUUUGGCAGAAGGGUAAGCCAUUGCUUUGAAAUUUCUGCCUUUUAAAAGGAGAAGAUCAACUUUAUAUAUUAUGCAUUUUAUAUUUAGACAAGAGGGACAUGGUGCAUUUUUUUUUUUUCUGUUGGGGAAGAAGAUAUUAAAUAAGUUCUGUUUUUGCAAUGUAGAGAUAGGAAUAUAUAUAGGGGGUAAAAAUAUUUCAAGAAUGGCUUUUUGUAAUUGAGUGGUUUUU
Long non-coding RNA from Cercocebus atys (sooty mangabey), 2479 nucleotides. RefSeq lists it as uncharacterized. The record is from RefSeq and is a predicted model, not a curated record. The transcript has 6 exons. NCBI's taxonomy places the organism in Eukaryota, Metazoa, Chordata, Mammalia, Primates, Cercopithecidae.